This 460-nucleotide ribosomal RNA is filed under the name uncultured bacterium. RNAcentral's name for it is "partial 16S ribosomal RNA". It matches the Rfam family "Bacterial small subunit ribosomal RNA", at positions 338 to 795 of the family's 1533-position model. The record is from RNAcentral.
CCUACGGGAGGCAGCAGUGAGGAAUAUUGGUCAAUGGGCGCGAGACUGAACCAGCCAAGUAGCGUGAAGGAUGACGGCCCUACGGGUUGUAAACUUCUUUUAUAAAGGAAUAAAGUGAGGCACGCGUGCCUUUUUGUAUGUACUUUAUGAAUAAGGAUCGGCUAACUCCGUGCCAGCAGCCGCGGUAAUACGGAGGAUCCGAGCGUUAUCCGGAUUUAUUGGGUUUAAAGGGAGCGUAGAUGGGUUGUUAAGUCAGUUGUUAAAGUUUGCGGCUCAACCGUAAAAUUGCAAUUGAUACUGGCAGUCUUGAGUACAGUUGAGGUAGGCGGAAUUCGUGGUGUAGCGGUGAAAUGCUUAGAUAUCACGAAGAACUCCGAUUGCGAAGGCAGCUUACCAAACUGCCACUGACAUUGAGGCUCGAAAGUGUGGGUAUCAAACAGGAUUAGAUACCCGAGUAGUC